UACGGGAGGCAGCAGUAGGGAAUUUUCCACAAUGGACGAAAGUCUGAUGGAGCAACGCCGCGUGAACGAUGAAGGUCUUCGGAUUGUAAAGUUCUGUUGUCAGGGACGAACAAGUACCGUUCGAAUAGGGCGGUACCUUGACGGUACCUGACGAGAAAGCCACGGCUAACUACGUGCCAGCAGCCGCGGUAAU
This 193-nucleotide ribosomal RNA is filed under the name uncultured Brevibacillus sp. RNAcentral's name for it is "partial 16S ribosomal RNA". It matches the Rfam family "Bacterial small subunit ribosomal RNA", at positions 340 to 524 of the family's 1533-position model. The record is from RNAcentral. Lineage: Bacteria; Bacillati; Bacillota; Bacilli; Caryophanales; Paenibacillaceae. RNAcentral also lists the same sequence under 1 other name.